This 430-nucleotide ribosomal RNA is filed under the name Caridina sp. FK1. Its description in RNAcentral is "partial 16S ribosomal RNA". It matches the Rfam family "Bacterial large subunit ribosomal RNA", at positions 1957 to 2593 of the family's 2925-position model. The record is from RNAcentral. Lineage: Eukaryota; Metazoa; Arthropoda; Malacostraca; Decapoda; Atyidae.
UAGCAUAAUAAAUAGUCUUUUAAUUGAAGUCUAGUAUGAAUGGUCGGACAUGAAGAAAGCUGUUUUAGCUUUGAUGAUUGAAUUUUACUUUUAAGUGAAAAGGCUUAAAUUAUAUGGUGGGACGAUAAGACCCUAUAAAGCUUUACAUUUUGUUUUUAAGUUAUGAGAUAUAUGGUUUUUUAUUCUUAUUUAAUAGGGUGUUUCGUUGGGGCGACGGAAAUAUAAAUUAAUAACUGUUUUUAUUUUAAAAAUAUAUUUUUAUAGGAGAGUUGAUCCUUUUUAGAGAUUAUAAGAUAUAAGUUACUUUAGGGAUAACAGCGUAAUUUAUCUUGAGAGUUCAUAUCGACAGAUAUAGUUGCGACCUCGAUGUUGAAUUAAAGUGCCCCCAAGGUGUAGUAGUUUUGGAGGUAGGUCUGUUCGACCUUUAAAA